Small nucleolar RNA from Capra hircus (goat), 133 nucleotides. Its record names the gene SNORA72. It matches the Rfam family "Small nucleolar RNA SNORA72". From Rfam's summary of the family: U72 is a member of the H/ACA class of snoRNAs. The snoRNA gene is located in intron 4 of the ribosomal L30 protein gene in human, mouse and chicken. NCBI's taxonomy places the organism in Eukaryota, Metazoa, Chordata, Mammalia, Artiodactyla, Bovidae. The record is from Ensembl.
CUGCGAAUAUUCUCGCUGUUCUGAUUUUUUUAAUAAUCAGGGCGGGCUAAACAUUCGCUAUAUUAAGACCAUGCAUGUGUCCCCAGACCUAGUUCUUUGCCUAGGUCUGGUUUUAUAAAUGCUGGUGAUAUAC